This 47-nucleotide transfer RNA is filed under the name Platysilurus malarmo. RNAcentral describes it as "partial tRNA-Pro". The record is from RNAcentral. RNAcentral also lists the same sequence under 1 other name. Lineage: Eukaryota; Metazoa; Chordata; Actinopteri; Siluriformes; Pimelodidae.
CCAGAAAAAGGAGAUUCUAACUCCCACCUCUAACUCCCAAAGCCAGA